GGAUGGUGGCUAUAUUGAUUGCGCGCUUUUCGCUACCAUAGAAUCAUCACCAGAAGUAAGAGAGAAAAUGCGCAUAAAUGCUUGGCAUGGAAUAAACACUCGGCGAGAGUCAGCCACCAUGAGGGUGCUGCCUGGAGCAGCGUGCACCUCAUACAACCUCACCAGCGUCAUUUGUACUAAAGGGUCGUGCAGCAGAGUGCACAGGUCAACAGCAGGGUCUCUGAUGCCAGAGCACCAGAUCAUGGCCCAACUCUCAGUAUGUGACCUUGGGCAAGUCAUCUGACAGCGAUGAGCCUCAUUUUCCUCACCUGUAAAGCGGGGAUUAGACACAUCACAGGGGUGUAAAGAUUAAAUGAGGCGAUACUUGUAAAGCAUUUAAAACAGCUGCCGACAGAGUGGGCACUCAGCCCUUGCUGGCUCUUAGCCCUAAGUGAGAGAGAAGCUGUGUGAUGGGAUGGAAGGAAGACAGAUUUGGGCUGUGUAAAGCCUGGCUCUGUCGCUUAAUAGCUGUCAAAAUGUCAAGCAUUUAAUCUCUGAACCCCUGCUCUCUCAUCUGCAGUGUGGUCAUUGUAGCAAUAGCUCAUGUAACUACUUCAUAGGGCCACUUGCUGGACCAAAAGCAAGGCGGAGGUUGAGACCCUCUCUACAGAUGUCCUCAAGCAUCAUCACGGCCACACACCCCCUGCACAGCCAGCUGGACGUCUCCCUGCACUGCCUCGCCCCUUCCUGUCCCAGAACUGGAAAGGAGGCCCCCACCCCAGCUGAACGCCAGGCCCUUGCCUUACUUUCUGCUCUUCUGUCCCCAGACCUUUAAUGAGUUUGAGAUCGAGCAGCACCAGGAAUGUGCCUAUGACCACCUGGAAAUGUAUGACGGGCCGGACAGCCUGGCCCCCAUUCUGGGCCGUUUCUGCGGCA
This 915-nucleotide long non-coding RNA is filed under the name Homo sapiens (human). RNAcentral describes it as "non-protein coding lnc-OPALIN-1:1". The record is from RNAcentral. Lineage: Eukaryota; Metazoa; Chordata; Mammalia; Primates; Hominidae.